RNAcentral lists this ribosomal RNA (681 nucleotides) under uncultured marine archaeon. Its description in RNAcentral is "bacterial SSU rRNA". It matches the Rfam family "Archaeal small subunit ribosomal RNA", at positions 57 to 757 of the family's 1478-position model. The record is from RNAcentral.
GUCGUGAGUCUUAGGGACUCGGCAUACUGCUCAGUAACACGUGGAUAACCUGCCCUAUCGUCUGGAAUAACCUCGGGAAACUGAGAAUAAGGCCGGAUAGUUCACAAUGCCUGGAACGGUUUGUGAAUCAAGGUAGGAUGGGUCUGCGGCGUAUCAGGUUGUAGGGGGUGUAAAGGACCCCCUAGCCUUCGACGCGUACGGGUGUUGGGAGACAUAGCCCGGAGAUGGAUUCUGAGACACGAAUCCAGACCCUACGGGGUGCAGCAGGCGCGAAAACUUCGCACUGCAGGAAACUGUGAUGAGGGAACUCCUAGUGCAUGCACUAUGUGUAUGUAGAUCCUACUCUUAACAAGUAGAGGGAAAGGGCUGGGAAAGACCGGUGCCAGCCGCCGCGGUAAUACCGGCAGCUCAAGUGGUCGUCGCUUUUAUUGGGCCUAAAACGUCCGUAGCCUGUUUGGUAAAUCUGUGGGUAAAUCAACCUGCUCAACGGGUUGAAUUCUGCAGAGACUGCCAGACUAGGGACCGGGAGAGGUGUGGGGUACUCGAGGGGUAGGGGUAAAAUCCUGUCAUCCUUCGAGGACCACCAGUUGCGAAGGCGCCACACUGGAACGGGUCCGACGGUCAGGGACGAAGCCUAGGGGCACGAACCGGAUUAGAUACCCGGGUAGUCCUAGGUGUAAA